This 253-nucleotide ribosomal RNA is filed under the name uncultured bacterium. RNAcentral describes it as "partial 16S ribosomal RNA". It matches the Rfam family "Bacterial small subunit ribosomal RNA", at positions 524 to 776 of the family's 1533-position model. The record is from RNAcentral.
UACGUAGGGUGCAAGCGUUAAUCGGAAUUACUGGGCGUAAAGCGUGCGCAGGCGGUGAUGUAAGUCAGAUGUGAAAUCCCUGGGCUCAACCUGGGAACUGCAUUUGAGACUGCAUGGCUAGAGUAUCGAAGAGGGAAGUGGAAUUUCCGGUGUAGCGGUGAAAUGCGUAGAUAUCGGAAGGAACACCAGUGGCGAAAGCGACUUCCUGGUCGAAUACUGACGUUCAUGUGCGAAAGCGUGGGGAGCAAACAGG